RNAcentral lists this unclassified non-coding RNA (200 nucleotides) under Pyrenochaeta sp. RNAcentral describes it as "partial internal transcribed spacer 2". The record is from RNAcentral. Lineage: Eukaryota; Fungi; Ascomycota; Dothideomycetes; Pleosporales; Cucurbitariaceae.
UUAAGUUCAGCGGGUAUCCCUACCUGAUCCGAGGUCAAGCGUUAAAAAUUGGGCUUUGUGGACGCCGCAACACGGUGGAGAGCGCAAAUUGUGCUGCGCUCAAACACCAGAUUGCCGGCUGCCAAUACAUUUGAGGCGAGUUCGCGCGCGCGGCGGAACAAACACCCAACACCAAGCAGAGCUUGAGGGUACAAAUGACG